This 292-nucleotide ribosomal RNA is filed under the name uncultured prokaryote. RNAcentral's name for it is "partial 16S ribosomal RNA". It matches the Rfam family "Bacterial small subunit ribosomal RNA", at positions 505 to 796 of the family's 1533-position model. The record is from RNAcentral.
GUGUCAGCCGCCGCGGUAAUACGUAGGGUGCAAGCGUUAAUCGGAAUUACUGGGCGUAAAGCGUGCGCAGGCGGUUUUGUAAGACAGAGGUGAAAUCCCCGGGCUCAACCUGGGAACUGCCUUUGUGACUGCAAGGCUAGAGUACGGCAGAGGGGGGUGGAAUUCCGCGUGUAGCAGUGAAAUGCGUAGAUAUGCGGAGGAACACCGAUGGCGAAGGCAACCCCCUGGGCCUGUACUGACGCUCAUGCACGAAAGCGUGGGGAGCAAACAGGAUUAGAAACCCUCGUAGUCC